CCCUUAGAUGUUCUGGGCCGCACGCGCGCUACACUGAUUCAUGCAACAAGUUUUGUCCUUGGCUGAUAGGCCUGGGUAAUCUUUGAACGUGAAUCGUGAUGGGGAUAGAUGAUUGCAAUUAUUCAUCUUCAACGAGGAAUUCCUAGUAAACGCAAGUCAUCAGCUUGCAUUGAUUACGUCCCUGCCCUUUGUACACACCGCCCGUCGCACCUACCGAUUGAAUGGUCCGGUGAAAUCUUCGGAUCUGAGAGAUGUCUGAUUAAUUUCGGACGCCUUUUGGAAAAGUUGCUUAAACCUUACCAUUUAGAGGAAGGUGAAGUCGUAGCA
This 327-nucleotide ribosomal RNA is filed under the name uncultured eukaryote. RNAcentral describes it as "partial 18S ribosomal RNA". It matches the Rfam family "Eukaryotic small subunit ribosomal RNA", at positions 1470 to 1796 of the family's 1831-position model. The record is from RNAcentral.